AGUGAACGCUGGCGGUAGGCCUAACACAUGCAAGUCGAACGGCAGCACAGUAAGAGCUUGCUCUUACGGGUGGCGAGUGGCGGACGGGUGAGGAAUACAUCGGAAUCUACUUUUUCGUGGGGGAUAACGUAGGGAAACUUACGCUAAUACCGCAUACGACCUACGGGUGAAAGCAGGGGAUCUUCGGACCUUGCGCGAUUGAAUGAGCCGAUGUCGGAUUAGCUAGUUGGCGGGGUAAAGGCCCACCAAGGCGACGAUCCGUAGCUGGUCUGAGAGGAUGAUCGGCCACACUGGAACUGAGACACGGUCCAGACUCCUACGGGAGGCAGCAGUGGGAAUAUUGGACAAUGGGCGCAAGCCUGAUCCAGCCAUACCGCGUGGGUGAAGAAGGCCUUCGGGUUGUAAAGCCCUUUUGUUGGGAAAGAAAAGCGGCAGGUUAAUACCCCGCUGUUCUGACGGUACCCAAAGAAUAAGCACCGGCUAACUUCGUG
Molecule: ribosomal RNA, 491 nt
Filed under: uncultured bacterium
Lineage: Bacteria
Description: partial 16S ribosomal RNA
Rfam family: Bacterial small subunit ribosomal RNA
Source: RNAcentral